RNAcentral lists this unclassified non-coding RNA (337 nucleotides) under soil metagenome. Its description in RNAcentral is "partial contains 5.8S ribosomal RNA, internal transcribed spacer 2, and large subunit ribosomal RNA". The stretch from base 1 to 120 matches the Rfam family "5.8S ribosomal RNA", at positions 35 to 154 of the family's 154-position model. The record is from RNAcentral.
GAUGAAGAACGCAGCGAAAUGCGAUAAGUAAUGUGAAUUGCAGAAUUCAGUGAAUCAUCGAAUCUUUGAACGCACAUUGCGCCCGCCAGCAUUCUGGCGGGCAUGCCUGUCCGAGCGUCAUUUCAACCAUCGAGCCCCGGGCUUGUGUUGGGGACCUGCGGCUGCCCGCAGGCCCCGAAAUCCAGUGGCGGGCUCGCUGGCACACCGAGCGUAGUAGCAUACACCUCGCUCAGGGCGUGCUGCGGGUUCCGGCCGUUAAAAAGCCUUUUUUACCCAAGGUUGACCUCGGAUCAGGUAGGAAGACCCGCUGAACUUAAGCAUAUCAAUAAGCGGAGGA